AGUAGAACUGCAGGAUCAUAAGGUAAAUCUGUUUUUAAUCUUUCGAGGAAUUGCCAUAGUGUUUUCCAAAGUGAUUACAUUAUUUUAUACUCCACCCGCAGU
This 102-nucleotide microRNA precursor is filed under the name Marmota monax (woodchuck). Lineage: Eukaryota; Metazoa; Chordata; Mammalia; Rodentia; Sciuridae. The record is from RNAcentral.